RNAcentral lists this ribosomal RNA (275 nucleotides) under uncultured bacterium. Its description in RNAcentral is "partial 16S ribosomal RNA". It matches the Rfam family "Bacterial small subunit ribosomal RNA", at positions 29 to 292 of the family's 1533-position model. The record is from RNAcentral.
AGCGAACGCUGGCGGUAUGCUUAACACAUGCAAGUCGAGCGCGAAAGUGACUUCGGUCAUGAGUAGAGCGGCGGACGGGUGAGUAACACGUGGAUAAUCUGCCUUUAGGACUGGGGAUAACCCUGGGAAACUAGGGCUAAUACCGGAUAAGACCACAGGGUUCCAUGGAACCAGGGGUAAAAGGCGGCCUUCGGGCUGUCGCCGAAGAUGAGUCCGCGUCCCAUCAGGUAGUUGGNGAGGUAACGGCUCACCAAGCCGAAGACGGGUAGCCGACC